UGGGUCUUUGCGGGCGAGAUGAGAGGUUCGUGUCUUCAACUGGCCUACAAAGUCCCAGU
Molecule: microRNA precursor, 59 nt
Filed under: Gallus gallus (chicken)
Lineage: Eukaryota; Metazoa; Chordata; Aves; Galliformes; Phasianidae
Also listed under: 1 other name
Description: Gga-Mir-193-P1b_pre stem-loop
Rfam family: mir-193 microRNA precursor family
Source: RNAcentral